GAACGAUAAUGACCAUUUGUGGGAUACCGAAUGGGAUAACUCGCUAAAUUCACGUCGAUUGUCGUACCUUUUUCCGAAGUAUCUUCUGGGUACUGAGUCGUUAACCUUGAAGUACUGAUUCAAAAUCAUGGCUUUGCCUUGGAUUUUUCCGUGUACAAACUAGAGAUGGAGCUUACAGAUUUAACAUCCACUGGAUAUUUUUCGAACAAACUUGCAACAAGAAAGUUUAUGAUGGUGAUGAUAGAAGCAGAGUUGAAGCAAGGGAUUGGAGGGAUCCAAGGUCUGGAUAUUGUUUGUGUGUCAUCCCCAUCAAGGUGCCGAUGAGGUGGACUUUAGCACGGUGCUUUCUAGUAGGAUGAAAUUAAUCAAAACGUCGUGCCUUAGUAUUAAUUUCAACAGAUGGGUUACUCUGUUUCGUGCACUAAAUGCAUUUGUGAAUACAAUUACUUUCUUUUUGAUGGGCAUGCAGGCCAUGCUGUUGUGAAUACAAAUUACCUAUCUUCAAGUCUACUUAUGAGUACUUAACAUUUUGGGACAAGGUGCUUGAUGAAUUUAAUGACGGCGCACUGGUUUAAUGCCAUGGACUUAUUUGCAUGCGCAUUUGCUUUUGCAUGAGAUCAUGUGUCACCCUUUUUGGCUGGAAAAUUUUGUUUGCUAAUUCAUGAAUUGGAGUGUUUUGUUUCUCUAAUACUGAACAAUCUGUAUCAUAGAUCUAGUAUGAGAAACUACUCUGAGGUGCUGAUUCAUGUGGGUGCUUAACAAGUGCCCUGAGGUGCUGAAUCAUAUGGGUGCUUAACAAGCUUUUGUGUGGUGCUGAAUCAUAUGGGUGCUUAACAAGUUUCUGUGUGGUGCUGAAUCAGUGUUUAUGCAUUACUAUGGUUGUAUAUUGCCUCACUGUAGUGCUGAAUCAGAGUACGAGAUCAUGUUGCAUAGCAUAUCAGGCGCUCUUCUAUGGUUUAUAUUCAUUAUGACCUUGUACUUGUCAGUUGCCUUGUUAUGUCUUGAUACUUAAGAUUUUCAACCGGGGUGACGGAUGUGUUUUGCUUAUGACGUGUUGCUAGAUGAAUCCGCUUGUUUGUGCUUCUUUUAAUAUCUAUGAAAAUAGAAUUGUCAUUUCUUAAAUUCAAGCUUGCCAUUUUUCCAUCAGAUUUGGUGUAUGUCCUAAUUGACCAGUGUUCUUAUUUUUUUGCUGGUUAAGUACCCAAGGUGCUUAACAAGCUUCUCCGAGGUGCUGAAUGUAUGAGGUGCUUAACAAGCUUCUCCGAGGUGCUGAAUCGUAUGAGGUGCUUAACAAGCUUCUCCGAGGUGCUGAAUCGUAUGAGGUGCUUAAUAAGCUUCUCCGGGGUGUUGAAUCAUAUGAGGUGCUUAACAAGCUUAUCCGAGGUGCUGAAUCGUAUGGGGGUGCUUAACAGGCUUCUUUGAGGUGCUGAACAGUUAAAGCGGGAUGCCGAAUCAUGGUGGCCUAUGACCAUGGACGACCAACGAGGCAACACCUACCAGGUUGAUGUGAGGCACAAUCCAAUCUUUAGAUAUCUGGUACCUAAUGCCUGGCUAUCAAGUUCAGAAAGCUAAAAGCACUGGACGUUUGCUGUGUGGUACCGAAUUCCUAUUUCUGUUCAUCUGACGUCAAAGCCCAGGCAGGAGAUGGGCUGUUAAGUACCUCUCCACUACUGCCAAGCCCAAUGCACCGGGUGGGUACCUAAUUGAUUCAAAUUUCGAAUCGGUUGUCUGCCAGGCCCAUGUGCAUCGUUGGCAGAGAAGUGCAGAAGGCCCAGGACGGGACGCUGACAGCUACUUUGUUGUUUUCACUGCCUUUACAUGAAAUCUGAUUCGAAAUGUGUUCUGCAAAACUGAAUUUGAACCUGACUAGGAGCAGUCCAAAAGCAGUAUACAGACUGUGUUGUUUCCAUUUUUUUUGCAAUGGGCUGACCCAUGGCAGGCCAUGCACUUAUUUUGUAAAAUUGAUAUGAG
Lolium rigidum is the source of this 1971-nucleotide long non-coding RNA. RefSeq lists it as uncharacterized. The record is from RefSeq and is a predicted model, not a curated record. NCBI's taxonomy places the organism in Eukaryota, Viridiplantae, Streptophyta, Magnoliopsida, Poales, Poaceae. The transcript is spliced from 4 exons.